CCUACGGGUGGCAGCAGUGGGGAAUAUUGGGCAAUGGGCGCAAGCCUGACCCAGCAACGUCGCGUGAAGGAAGAAGGCCCUCGGGUUGUAAACUUCCUUUAUCAGGGACGAAGCAAGUGACGGUACCUGAUGAAUAAGCCACGGCUAACUACGUGCCAGCAGCCGCGGGAAUACGUAGGUGGCAAGCGUUAUCCGGAUUUACUGGGUGUAAAGGGCGUGUAGGCGGGAAAGCAAGUCAGAUGUGAAAACCAUGGGCUCAACCUGUGGCCUGCAUUUGAAACUGUUUUUCUUGAGUACUGGAGAGGCAGGCGGAAUUCCUAGUGUAGCGGUGAAAUGCAUAGAUAUUAGGAAGAACACCAGUGGCGAAGGCAGUCUGCUGGACAGCAACUGACGCUGAGGCGCGAAAGCGUGGGGAGCGAACAGGAUUAGAUACCCUUGUAGUC
This 443-nucleotide ribosomal RNA is filed under the name uncultured bacterium. Its description in RNAcentral is "partial 16S ribosomal RNA". It matches the Rfam family "Bacterial small subunit ribosomal RNA", at positions 338 to 795 of the family's 1533-position model. The record is from RNAcentral.